CAGCAGCCGCGGGAAUACGAAGGGUGCAAGCGUUACUCGGAAUUACUGGGCGUAAAGCGUGCGUAGGUGGUGGUUUAAGUCCGUUGUGAAAGCCCUGGGCUCAACCUGGGAAUUGCAGUGGAUACUGGGUCACUAGAGUGUGGUAGAGGAUAGUGGAAUUUCCGGUGUAGCAGUGAAAUGCGUAGAGAUCGGAAGGAACAUCUGUGGCAAAGGCGACUAUCUGGGCCAACACUGACACUGAGGCACGAAAGCGUGGGGAGCAAACAGGAUUAGAUACCCCUGUAGUCCCUGUCUCUUAUAC
Molecule: ribosomal RNA, 301 nt
Filed under: uncultured bacterium
Lineage: Bacteria
Description: partial 16S ribosomal RNA
Rfam family: Bacterial small subunit ribosomal RNA
Source: RNAcentral